AAAGUGCCAUUUCCAUGGACAGGUCACCUUGUUGAAGACAUACCCUACCUAUCAGAGCUACGCUGCUCUUCCAAAGGAGGAUGAAACAAGCGUUACAGAUUCUUUCCUCUUACCUCUCACACUGAUAAAAGACAAGCAGGGAGGAAGAAAGGACUCCCUACCAUGGACCCAUCUUGCAGUUGUCAUUCAUAUGAAACACAAAGUAGAAACAUGAUCGUCUUUCCAAGUUUGUAAAAGAGGCCAGUGAAUCACAUUCUGCAAGAAGAAGAGAGUUUCCUAAAUGAGGGAGAUGUGCUUUUUUUCUCCUUGUCCUGUUGUUGGCAAAGCCUGAAAGUGGACUUCAACUUCACAGUGAAUUUUUACACUCUGGAUGGGCAAGAGUGUUUCAGGAGCUUGGUUUCUUCCCACUGUCUGCCCCCAAAAGAACAGAAAAGAUUGAGAUUUUCUGAAGCUGAACUGACUGACUAUUCAGUGAUUCACAGGGCAAUUGACUUGGAAUCAGUGAAGAAUUUCUUUUCACAUUCCACCCCAGCAGAGGCUGCUGAGCCAAGGUAAGGGUCUCUUCU
This 566-nucleotide long non-coding RNA is filed under the name Ursus thibetanus thibetanus. Its description in RNAcentral is "lncRNA (ENSUTTG00000007311.1)". Lineage: Eukaryota; Metazoa; Chordata; Mammalia; Carnivora; Ursidae. The record is from RNAcentral.